UACGUAGGGUGCAAGCGUUAAUCGGAAUUACUGGGCGUAAGGCGAGCGCAGGCGGUUUUGUAAGUCAGAUGUGAAAUCCCCGGGCUUAACCUGGGAAUGGCAUUUGGGACUGCAAGGCUGGAGUGCGGCAGAGGAGACUGGAAUUCCUGGUGUAGCAGUGAAAUGCGUAGAUAUCAGGAGGAAUACCGAUGGCGAAGGCAGGUCUCUGGGCUGACACUGACGCUCAUGCACGAAAGCGUGGGGAGCAAACAGG
Molecule: ribosomal RNA, 253 nt
Filed under: uncultured bacterium
Lineage: Bacteria
Description: partial 16S ribosomal RNA
Rfam family: Bacterial small subunit ribosomal RNA
Source: RNAcentral